CCGGCCACAGUGCUUGGGGACACACCGGGAUGGGAAGCAGAGCCUACUUUGGAAGAGCUCCCAGUCAGUCGGGUGGAGGAGCAGGUUCUGUCAUGAUGAAUGGAUCCAGUGUGGCAAAUACAUCACCCAGUGUAAAAUCCAAAGAGGACCAGGGGUUGGAUGGGCAUGAUGAGAAGGAAAACCCAUUUGCAGAGUACAUGUGGAUGGAGAAUGAAGAGGAUUUCAACAGACAGGUGGAGGAGGAGCUGCAGGAGCAAGACUUUUUGGACCGUUGCUUCCAGGAGAUGCUGGAUGAAGAAGACCAAGACUGGUUUAUUCCAUCACGAGAUCUGCCUCAGGCCAUGGGACAGUUGCAACAACAGUUAAAUGGACUGUCGGUUGGCGAUGGUCACGAUUCUGAAGAUAUUUUGGUACUCAGUGAAUUGAAAAAUUAUCUUUGGAGUCAAACUUACAAGCCUCUAAUGAAAACGUCAUGAAGGGAACAGGAGUCUAAAGCAGGAAGGAGAAGAUGAGAUUGGUCGGGGCUUAGUAUGUCAGGAGCCGUUGCAAGCAGCCCAGCAAAAACAGCCUGAGUUGCAAGAAAUUCUCUUUUUUUCUCUCCUUGAGGCUGAGAGGAAGAGCAAAAGUAACCUGAACCCGGAUGCCAAGGAAUUUAUUCCAGGAGUGAAGUACUGAGCUGACAGAAAGCUUUGAGGAGGACUUGUGUGUCCCCACAUCUGGGGACAGCGCUGCACAAACAUGCGGAGCUGAAGAGGGGGGUGGGGCGGGCGGGGUGCACAGCGGGGAGGGGAACAGUGGUUUAACUUGACACUGUGACUGGAGUAACUAAUGUGCUCAGUCUUUCUCUGCAAGCCUCUGAGUGUUUCCCUUUUGUUCUACUGACUUUCACUUGGAGGAGUUUUCUAUUAUUAUUACUAGAUUUUUGAGUUAAGGAAAUUGUAAUCUUUUUUUUCCCCUCCAUCAGGAAUGUUCUGCUGUGUGUGUUUAAACAAAAUAAGCUGACCAAGAAAAUCUGGGUGUUUAAGAAUGCCCUUCUCACCCUGCUGUAUACUUACCAAGGGCAGUGAACACCUGGAGAACUACUUAUCAAGUCUGUUAAGCUGCACGGCAAGAGGGACAAGUGGAAGUAGCAGGCGUUACAAACCAGAGUACACCGCUCAGCUCCCCAGACCCUUGGGGUUUCCUGCCAUGACCUGGGAUUAUCAAUGGCCUGUGAGCCCAUGUCUCCCUGCCCUGAACCGUAACACAGACUUAACAUACUGGUUCUCAGUAGCUCUUUUGGUGGUUGGUGAAAGUUGUAAAUCAGAAGGGGAGGACUGUGGUGGUGAUUGUCACUUGAAUCAUUCAGUUACUGUUGGCCUACUCUUAAGCCUCUGUUUACAGCUACCCUCAAACUCGUCCUUUACAAGGUAAAAGAGCACUAAGGUGGAUUUGCCACUUUGCCCCUCGUGGUGUCUGGUCCCUUGUGUCCUUUCCACUCCAACCUUACUCUCUUUUUAAGAAAAGAUAUUGUUACCAAAGGUAUAUGAGAGGCAAGCUGUGUUGGCCAUCAGCUUCAGGCUGGGGAAGUCAUCCUUGAAUCCUGUUAGUUAUAUCUUAAGUUUGUUUUGACAGUUUUUUCCCAGCCCCAUGAAGACUUUGUCCUCUUGGUAUCUUACUUCCCUUAGAAAGGUUUAUACACUUUUACAAGUAAAUAUAUUUUUCAGGACACUAGCAAGAAGCUACAGUCACUGUGUGGAUGCUUCUCCCCACCUUACAGAAUUAUGCAGAACAACUCAAAAUAAGCCCAGGAGAGUGAGUCCUGCUUGAACCAGCUGACUGUGUAACCCGCCAGAAUGGUUUCAGCAAUUACAAAGUUUUGCCAUUCCCACACACCCAGCUUUGCAAGUUUUCUAGGUGGGGCUCUCUGGGUAUGUUCCUUUUAUCUUUUCUGCCUAUAAGUCACAUGAGUUUUUGUUGAUACUCACGAGGAACUAAAGUGGGCACCAGGAGCUGCCUUUGUGUGACAGUGAUGUAGGUGGCAAAGUCAGGUCUAAAAGAGAGCGUGUCUGUCCAGUCCUGGCAUUCUCCCAGGACAAGGACUUGCAGAGGCCUGAGGAGGACAGUGGCUUCUGUGUGACUGCCACUGUGUUGUGUGAUAGGCCUAACAGGAAAAGAUCAUGUAACUUGAAAUAAAGUCUGUGCAAAUUCAGUAUGUGGAUGUGGGACAGAGGUUGGAAGGAGAGGACUAGGGUCUGGAAAGCUUAAGAAUUUCUCCUUUUUCUUAUGAGCUCCCUUGUUGACCUUUUAACAGCCACAGGCUAAUGUCUGAUUUCAAAUAUGAACCCACAUCUUUUCCUCAUUUUAUAGGAUGGCAUCGUUUGGAAAAUGACCUUCCUUGUUAGGUCACAUAUCAUAGGAGAGUAGCUUAGGGAGCUGGUAUUGCCAGAUGUGCACAUUAGUUCCCAAAGCCUCUACCUCAAGAGAAUGGAACUCUUUAACUCAUUUUCAGGAAGGGCUGUGAAUAAAGAAACUUUAUUCCAGCUUCAGCUUUCAGAUGGGGUUGUUUCCUCUAAGGAGAGGGCCUUGGAAGUGCAGAAAUAGAGGUCUCGCUCUUCUGGGGCUGCUUUUCCUCCUUCAGUCUCCAUUAGCUUGUCCAAGCUCGGAAUUCUAAAGGCUGUUAGAAAUGCAUUGGGAUUGCAGAAAAAGCCUUUUCUAGACCGUAGGUGUCUCCAUCACCAACAGUACAAUGGAGUCUUGUGUGGCUCCUGGUCUGGAGAGUCCUACAGGGGUCCAGAUCGAGCUGUUUCUUCAUCUGAAGAAGGCUUGCUCUUCUGACACCGGGAUAGGCUAAGAUGUCAGGUGCAGUCCAAAGGGUUUGACUUCCCAUCUGCUGAGGGCUUCCGUCUUAGAUGUCAGUCUUCAGUAUUGUUUCACAGGCAUGUUUGGUCAGGACUAAGCUUCCUGCCAGACGAGCAGUGGAACCUAGAGGCUGGACUUUCCAGUCCUAUUCAGACACACAGUGUGCUGACUCUGGGAUCAGGAAUCAGCUAGCAAUGUGACCCCGUUUUUAAUGCGUAGGCUUGUGCUUCCAGUGGUUCCUCUUGUAGCCCAACUCUUUUCUCCAUCUAUUUUAUGUUGUGAGGUGGGAGCCCAGUUGUCACCCAGAUCACAGGCUCAGCUUUAGUUGGAGUUUGCCAACUCCUUAGCAGAAAAUGCAUGUGGAUCUUGUUGGACUUUUCACUGGGGAAAGUCUGGGAGCCUCUGUCUCAGACUUUUUCUCCCAGGAGAGGUUCUGGGCGCAAGCCCAGCUGGACACCUUUGCCCUUUAAGGGUGAGGCUGGUAUUUGUAAGUGAUCAUUUGAUGUUGAGUUUAAGCCACUACCCUGUUGAAACUUUUUUAUUGGCAAGUUGAAAUUUGAGAAUUUGUGUAGAAGCAGAAUAUGUAUUUUUAAUAAUUGCCAAUUCUGGCUGGUCCCAGUGUUAGUUUAUUAAUGAUUGAUUUCUGAUUUUUGUGAUUAUUGGACUCUAAAACUCCAAGAUGAAAACCAUUUUCUCUCUUCCACUUCAAGGGGGAAGAAAGAAAUAAAGGCAAUGCCUUUUCAGUUUCUCCCGGCCUUUAACUGCAGAGAACUGGAUGGAUUUAGCCCAGGCCUGAGCACCUGCAGCUUUGGGGCCAUGGGCCAGUUUCUGACUGCAGCACUUGACUUGUGGGGAACAUAUAAGGCCAAACCAAAAAAGAUCAUAAGGAAAAGGCUGGACCUUUGCAGCACCUGUAGUUUCCAAAGUCAGAACAGCUGGGGUCUCUUUAGAUAAGGCUAUAAUGCCAACUACGGCUUAAAAGAUGUUCUUAGUGAAACACCAAGCAGUGUUUCUAAAAUCAUGUGUUACUAUAAUGUCAAAGUUCUGUGUUGAUUUUGGAGAGGCUGGGAAGUAAGGAGGUCACUUGAACACUCUGGGAAUUAAUAUAUGUCAGACAGGAAAGAUGUGUGAAGGAGUAGUCAAAGGACACAGUUUGACUGAAAUUUCUUGCAUUAGGGCUGCUGAAAACCCCAUGUCGAAACAUCAUGGGGAAUCUACCCUGCUGUGAUUGGAAGAGGCAAGUAUUCUAGAAGGACCCCAGCAUGACGGGUUACUAAUGUUUCUUGGUUUGGUGAUGUUACAGUAUGGGAACAGGCAGAGACCUGGCAGAUUUGACCAUGAUUUGGAGAUGUGCACCUAUUGGGUAAGACUGUAUAUCCCCAGCCACUCUCUGGGAUAAUGCAGACCUCAUUGGUUUGGGAAGUGGGUGGAGAGAACAGGAGGAUUGAUCUGGUCUGGUGUGCUUUGGGAGCCUUGCCUCAGCCCACAGUUCCCGGUGUAAAUCAUGGCCAUCCUCAUUGCCCACAGGGAUCAUUAGUUCUCCUGGCUCCACCCUGUAAAGUAUGCAGAGUACUUCCUGUGGCCACUGCUCUACUGCCUUGUAAAUUUCAUCCACAGACUUUGUUAGUUACAACUUUGAGAGAGUCCCCCUCCCACCCCCGCUUUGUUUUUAAUCUUCUGUCUUUAUUGCUCCCAUCUGGAAGCUGCAAUUGGUGACAAAGGAUAGGGGAGUAGGAGGCAGACCGAACAAGAUACUCAAGUCUCCUUCUUGCUACUUGGCCUUCAGCCCUUACCACCCAACCUCCUACUGCUGUCCCCAGUCAGUCUAGUUUUGAGGGGGGGGUCAUACCAAUAGGACAGCUGAGUACUAUACACUGAUCUCUAGGGUGUCAGCUAAGAGAUUCACCACCCUACCCCUAGGGGACAGAAGAGAAAUCUGCUAAGGGACAGAUGCACCAUCUUUACUCUAAAAGAAAAAGCCCCCUUAGAUUUGUCAUUAAUAGGAGUCUCCUUUGUGAGAUUUUCUGAGAUUUCUUUCCCAGUCCUACCUUCUUACUGGCUACCUUUUAUUUUAAAAUAAUGAAGAAACAUUCUAGCUAUUUGCUGUAAAAUAGGACAGUGUUUUCACUCUGUAACUCAACACUAAGUGAUAAUCCUGCCCCAUUGAUUGUGAACCUUCAGAAAUGUUUAAUGCUUGAUGGGUGGUUUGGGAGGCAAGGACUUUUUUUUUUUAACCAACUUUAUUUAGGCAUAUUUUACGUAUCAUAAAAUUCACUCAUUUCAAAUGUACAAUUGAGUGAUUUUAGUAACUUUCCUGAGUAGUGCAGCCAUAACCAUACUCAGUUUUAGAACAUUUUCAUCCCCCUGCAAUAAGAUCCUUCAUGCCCAUUUACAGGAUAAUCUCUGUUCCCAGCUCUAAGCAACCACUAAUCUUCUGUCCCUAUAAAUUUGCCUUUUCAUAUCAAUGGAAUCGUAUAAAGUGUGGUAUCUUGAUUCUGGCUUUUUUGACGUAACAUAUUUUUUCAGGUUCAUCCAUGACAUAUAAGGUGUGUUGGUAAUUUGUUCCUUUUUAUUGCCGAAUAAUAUCCCAUUGAUAGAUAAUACAUUUUGUCAGCAGGGAGUCUUUUAAACUUGGAUUUCAACCUCCUGUGGUCUGAAAGGAACCCUCAGAACAUAGAACUCACAGGGGAAGCUACUGUGCAUGUCAAAGGAACUACUUAUCAGAACCAGCUUUGUCAUCAGAAGCUCCACAUGAGGAGAUUGAACUGCUGCAGAAAUUUUUAUGAUAAUCUUGCAACUUUUUUAUAAGGAACUUUUGUGCUGUCUACAUAUCAGGACUUUUGAAGCAUCUGAUAAUUUAAUAAGUACGAGCAUGUGUUUGACCAGAAAGUGAAACCAUCAAUACUAUUUUGGAUAUUGUUUCCUCCUCGACUGGAUGGGGGAUCUCUGAGCUUUCCAAGUACAGUAUUGUCUUCGUUACAAAGCUGAACAUGUAUUAAGGAUCAUGCUGCUUUUGUCGGACUGAUUCGAAGGGAAGGAGGACAGCCAGCAGAGGAGGUCAAGAGGAGAAAGGGAGUAGAGUUUGUGGAACAAGAAGCCCCCAGGGGGGGUCUGUGCAUGGCCCACCCAUCUGUUGGUGUGGACGGUGAAGUGCUGAUGGUGUCCUGGGGCAGCCCAGGUCUUGACUUUGUACCUUUAUCCAUUUUGCAAGUGUUUAGAAGCUGGUUUUGUUCCUUACGUUUUUUUCCCUAAAUAAACAUUACAUGGUAGUUAUUUAAUACUUCUUUGGGGGAGGGGCAGGGCUUUAAAAUUGAAGAAAAUUUUCAUAAAAAUAUCAAAAAUGGAAAAAAGUUACUUUUUUAAAAAUUUGCUAUACAAACCAAAUGGCAGCUGUUGAAAAAUCUCAAUAAAAUGAGAAUAAAAUGCA
Equus caballus (horse) is the source of this 6268-nucleotide non-coding RNA. Lineage: Eukaryota; Metazoa; Chordata; Mammalia; Perissodactyla; Equidae. The record is from RefSeq and is a predicted model, not a curated record.